AAGUCGUAACAAGGUUUCCGUAGGUGAACCUGCGGAAGGAUCAUUAACACGAACAAAUAUCCAAUAGCAAAACAAAACGUGAACCAAACCCAUCCUCUUAUACGCAAGUAUAAGAGUACUUUAUUCUAACCUUUUUUAACCCCUUUUUUUAAUAUUGCUUUCCUUUAAAGAAGCAAACUUUAACCAUAUAUCUAUGUACUUAACUGUAUAUAUGUAUAUACGAAACUAAAUAAACAUUAGUAAGAACAACUCUUAACAAUGGAUAUCUAGGUUCUC
RNAcentral lists this unclassified non-coding RNA (276 nucleotides) under fungal sp. RNAcentral's name for it is "partial internal transcribed spacer region". The stretch from base 1 to 46 matches the Rfam family "Eukaryotic small subunit ribosomal RNA", at positions 1786 to 1831 of the family's 1831-position model. The record is from RNAcentral. Lineage: Eukaryota; Fungi.